RNAcentral lists this signal recognition particle RNA (97 nucleotides) under Verrucomicrobiales bacterium. RNAcentral's name for it is "signal recognition particle sRNA small type". It matches the Rfam family "Bacterial small signal recognition particle RNA". From Rfam's summary of the family: The signal recognition particle (SRP) is a universally conserved ribonucleoprotein involved in the co-translational targeting of proteins to membranes. Archaeal SRP consists of a 7S RNA and homologues of the eukaryotic SRP19 and SRP54 proteins. Lineage: Bacteria; Pseudomonadati; Verrucomicrobiota; Verrucomicrobiia; Verrucomicrobiales. The record is from RNAcentral.
CGCCAGGGCCCAUGGAAUGUGGACUUGCAAACCCCGCCAGGGCCGGAAGGCAGCAACGGUAGCGUGCUCUGCAUCUGCCGUGGUGUCCCUGGCAUCC